Molecule: small RNA, 29 nt
Filed under: Bombyx mori (domestic silkworm)
Lineage: Eukaryota; Metazoa; Arthropoda; Insecta; Lepidoptera; Bombycidae
Description: ovarian small RNA-2392
Source: RNAcentral
UUGCCUUUGGUCUAUCCCUGUCCUGGCGA